CCUGGUUGAUCCUGCCAGUAGUCAUAUGCUUGUCUCAAAGACUAAGCCAUGCAUGUCUAAGUAUAAAUGGUAUACAGUAAAACUGCGAAUGGCUCAUUAAAACAGUUAUAGUUUAUUUGGUAAUCGAAUUUACAUGGAUAACCGUGGUAAUUCUAGAGCUAAUACAUGCUGUAAAGCCCGACUUCUCGGAAGGGCCGUAUUUAUUAGAUAACAGACCAGCAGCUUCGGCUAUUGUGGUGAAUCAUAGUAACUAAUCGGAUCGCAUGGGCUACGCCCGCGACAAACCAUUCAAGUUUCUGCCCCAUCAGCUUUCGAUGGUAGUGUAUUGGACUACCAUGGCUUUUACGGGUAACGGAGGAUUAGGGUUCGAUUCCGGAGAGGGAGCCUGAGAAACGGCUACCACAUCUAAGGAAGGCAGCAGGCGCGUAAAUUACCCAAUUCUGAUUCAGAGAGGUAGUGACAAGAAAUAACGGGUCGGGACUUUGUCCCGGGACUGCAAUGAGAUGAACUUAUACCCCUUUUCGAGUAACAAUUGGAGGGCAAGUCUGGUGCCAGCAGCCGCGGUAAUUCCAGCUCCAAUAGCGUAUAUUAAAGUUGUUGCAGUUAAAAAGCUCGUAGUUGGAUUUCUGGCAGGAUAACUUUGCCCUCUGUAGAGUGCGCAAUGGUGUCCUACCAUCCUUCUGUUAACCCUUUCGACCUUUAAAAGUUGGCUGGGGGCUCAGAUAUUUUACCUUGAGAAAAUUAGAGUGUUUCAGGCAGGCUAGCGCCGGAAUACAUUAGCAUGGAAUAAUAGAAUAGGACUUAAGCCUCUUCUGUU
This 817-nucleotide ribosomal RNA is filed under the name uncultured ciliate. Its description in RNAcentral is "SSU rRNA". It matches the Rfam family "Eukaryotic small subunit ribosomal RNA", at positions 3 to 844 of the family's 1831-position model. The record is from RNAcentral. Lineage: Eukaryota; Ciliophora.